UCCUUCGGCCCCGAGCAGCCGCGCCGCCGGAGCUUGCGAACCCCGCUGCCACCUCGACUCCUCCGCGUCCGGUGCGAUGCCGGAGAAUCCGUCGCAUCUGGGCGAGCUUACCAUCGAGAAGCAGCCGCCGCGCUGUCCUCCUGCUUUGACUUUUCCCGUCCUUCCCUGCUCUUCUCUCACCUUUCUCUGCCUUGCCUCCACAGGGAGACCGGGACGCCGGCGGCACGCGGAACGACACCACCCCAACUGGAUCCACACCCUCCUCCAUUGCCUGCUCUCGAGUCAUCAGUCCUCGGCUCGAAUCGGUCUUGCUGGUAGCCGUCGUUGCCAAAUCUUAGCUUGGCCGCCCGCUGAAAGAUCCAGCAACCUUGCGCCUCUCACCGUCGAUGGCGGUAGGAAUGACGGAGCCGUGCAUGUGGCGGCGCGCAUGUGGUGCGAGCGGAGCAACCGCCUUGCAGAGCGCCUGCAGGGCUGCAGCGCGCUCUGCCUCGAGCAGCACGCAUGGGUCGCGACUGAGACGUCAGAGGAGCUUCAGCAGAAGGUAAUGUGUACAGAGAACGAGGAUGCCAAGCCAAAUUUUUUCAACGAGGAUUUCAAGUUUGAGUUCUGAAGACCGUUAGAGAUAUGAACUGGUGGUGAGUUCAAUGAUAUCCAAAAUUGUUGGUCAAACAUGAAAGGAUGCACAUUCGUUUUUGAAGACUGAAAAAAACGUUUCAUGAAGCAACCUUGAGGUGCCGCCAUGGCAACAUCCAUGAGACUAUACAGAUCCUGAGGGAAAGAGUUGCGAUGGGCCGAUGGCGCAUCUAUUCACACCAUGGACAUUCAUCGCCUGCUACUGAUGCGCCCACUCUGAAGGCAAGCAAAAGAUGCUAUUCCUAAAGGUUGUUGUUGACACCCAAAAAGCUCCUCGGUAGACAUGUUCCUCUCCGGCACAUCACUUGGUGGAUCUAGAGGGGAAACCAUCAGCUUAUGAAAAAGGGCAACUAAACUGGCUGCUAUUGUUCCUUACCAAGAGUAAUUUCCCCAGUGCCUAACAUACAAUUUGGUUUGUUGCAUCAUGAUAAGGUCUUCAUGAUGUGCACAGGCAUGCGUAUUUUUACAUUUAAUCUGUUUUCCUAUCUUACAUCCAUGCAUUCACAUAUUAGAGGAUAAAUAUGUUGCAGGCUCUUAUCUACAUGCAUGAAUGUUAAAUCUGUAUCCAAUGGUAAAGUUGGCUUUAUCAGGAAAAAGGAUCAUGGAAUAACAUGCGAGGUGUAUAUUGUUGUUAGCAUCUGCUUAUUUUGAUGCAUUCUAUUUGCAUACAUAUACCAAGUUUUUCGUCAAAUACAUAUAUUGCAGGACAAUGGAUGAUCGAGUAGCACUCAAGAUGGCAAGGUGGUUGAGAUUUACGAACUGUUGUAUCUUGAGGACUCAUGAUGCAGUUGUAUGUUGAUACAUGUAGAUUUAUGACUAUUGCCAUAUCAUCCAGUGUAUCUAUCUAUCUAUGCCUCCUUAACUUCAACAUAUUUACCUUGAAUAAUUAUGGUUUAAUACA
Triticum dicoccoides is the source of this 1534-nucleotide long non-coding RNA. RefSeq lists it as uncharacterized. The transcript has 6 exons. Lineage: Eukaryota; Viridiplantae; Streptophyta; Magnoliopsida; Poales; Poaceae. The record is from RefSeq and is a predicted model, not a curated record.